CGAUUGGAUAGUGCAGGAAACUGCAUGAAACUCGUCUGCAAUCCCGGCAUCGCUGUUCGCUCCGUUUUGGACGGGCAGCGUGGCGACUUCAAUUCUGCCUUCGGGCAGCUUCAAC
RNAcentral lists this non-coding RNA (115 nucleotides) under unclassified sequences. RNAcentral's name for it is "DUF3577 RNA". It matches the Rfam family "DUF3577 RNA". The record is from RNAcentral.